GAACGCUGGCGGCAGGCCUAACACAUGCAAGUCGAGCGGUAGCACAGAGAGCUUGCUCUCGGGUGACGAGCGGCGGACGGGUGAGUAAUGUCUGGGAAACUGCCUGAUGGAGGGGGAUAACUACUGGAAACGGUAGCUAAUACCGCAUAAUGUCGCAAGACCAAAGUGGGGGACCUUCGGGCCUCAUGCCAUCAGAUGUGCCCAGAUGGGAUUAGCUAGUAGGUGGGGUAACGGCUCACCUAGGCGACGAUCCCUAGCUGGUCUGAGAGGAUGACCAGCCACACUGGAACUGAGACACGGUCCAGACUCCUACGGGAGGCAGCAGUGGGGAAUAUUGCACAAUGGGCGCAAGCCUGAUGCAGCCAUGCCGCGUGUGUGAAGAAGGCCUUCGGGUUGUAAAGCACUUUCAGCGGGGAGGAAGGCGGUGAGGUUAAUAACCUCACCGAUUGACGUUACCCGCAGAAGAAGCACCGGCUAACUCCGUGCCAGCAGCCGCGGUAAUACGGAGGGUGCAAGCGUUAAUCGGAAUUACUGGGCGUAAAGCGCACGCAGGCGGUCUGUCAAGUCGGAUGUGAAAUCCCCGGGCUCAACCUGGGAACUGCAUUCGAAACUGGCAGGCUAGAGUCUUGUAGAGGGGGGUAGAAUUCCAGGUGUAGCGGUGAAAUGCGUAGAGAUCUGGAGGAAUACCGGUGGCGAAGGCGGCCCCCUGGACAAAGACUGACGCUCAGGUGCGAAAGCGUGGGGAGCAAACAGGAUUAGAUACCCUGGUAGUCCACGCCGUAAACGAUGUCGAUUUGGAGGUUGUGCCCUUGAGGCGUGGCUUCCGGAGCUAACGCGUUAAAUCGACCGCCUGGGGAGUACGGCCGCAAGGUUAAAACUCAAAUGAAUUGACGGGGGCCCGCACAAGCGGUGGAGCAUGUGGUUUAAUUCGAUGCAACGCGAAGAACCUUACCUGGUCUUGACAUCCACAGAACUUUCCAGAGAUGGAUUGGUGCCUUCGGGAACUGUGAGACAGGUGCUGCAUGGCUGUCGUCAGCUCGUGUUGUGAAAUGUUGGGUUAAGUCCCGCAACGAGCGCAACCCUUAUCCUUUGUUGCCAGCGGUUCGGCCGGGAACUCAAAGGAGACUGCCAGUGAUAAACUGGAGGAAGGUGGGGAUGACGUCAAGUCAUCAUGGCCCUUACGACCAGGGCUACACACGUGCUACAAUGGCAUAUACAAAGAGAAGCGACCUCGCGAGAGCAAGCGGACCUCAUAAAGUAUGUCGUAGUCCGGAUUGGAGUCUGCAACUCGACUCCAUGAAGUCGGAAUCGCUAGUAAUCGUAGAUCAGAAUGCUACGGUGAAUACGUUCCCGGGCCUUGUACACACCGCCCGUCACACCAUGGGAGUGGGUUGCAAAAGAAGUAGGUAGCUUAACCUCCGGGAGGGCGCUUACCACUUUGUGAUUCAUGACUGGGGUGAA
Molecule: ribosomal RNA, 1461 nt
Filed under: uncultured organism
Description: SSU rRNA
Rfam family: Bacterial small subunit ribosomal RNA
Source: RNAcentral